Molecule: non-coding RNA, 30 nt
Filed under: Rattus norvegicus (Norway rat)
Lineage: Eukaryota; Metazoa; Chordata; Mammalia; Rodentia; Muridae
Source: RNAcentral
UCCCUGAAGACACCUUACACAGACUGGCUA